Molecule: small nucleolar RNA, 106 nt
Filed under: Propithecus coquereli (Coquerel's sifaka)
Lineage: Eukaryota; Metazoa; Chordata; Mammalia; Primates; Indriidae
Description: Small nucleolar RNA SNORA44 (ENSPCOG00000002362.1)
Rfam family: Small nucleolar RNA SNORA44
About the family: ACA44 is a member of the H/ACA class of snoRNA that guide the sites of modification of uridines to pseudouridines.
Source: RNAcentral
AACAAAGUUUGCAUGGGAUCUCCAACUGCAAGCAAGAGCAACCUGGAGAGACUGGCAGAUCAGGUCAGCAUAACACCUGCAGCUGCCACCCACCUUUCCUAUAACG